GACAGAGGGUGCAAACGUUGCUCGGAAUUACUGGGCGUAAAGCGCGUGUAGGCGGUUCCGCAAGUCAGGUGCGAAAGCCCAGGGCUCAACCCUGGAAGUGCACUUGAUACUACGGAGCUUGAGUACUGAAGAGGAGAGCGGAAUUCCCGGUGUAGAGGUGAAAUUCGUAGAUAUCGAGAGGAACACCGGUGGCGAAGGCGGCCUUCUGGACAGUGACUGACGCUGAGACGCGAAAGCGUGGGGAGCAAACAGG
Molecule: ribosomal RNA, 253 nt
Filed under: uncultured bacterium
Lineage: Bacteria
Description: partial 16S ribosomal RNA
Rfam family: Bacterial small subunit ribosomal RNA
Source: RNAcentral